RNAcentral lists this unclassified non-coding RNA (335 nucleotides) under Hevea brasiliensis (rubber tree). The record is from RNAcentral. Lineage: Eukaryota; Viridiplantae; Streptophyta; Magnoliopsida; Malpighiales; Euphorbiaceae.
GCCUCAUCAGCAGAUGCUACUGUCGCAAAACCUAGAAGUCCAGAUACACCCGCUCCAAUGAGUGCUAAUGUUCUGAAGGACUUCAUGCCAAAAGAACCAAAUUCUUCUUGAGCUUUUUUGGAAACAAAGGAUGAUAAAAUUGGAGAUGCCGUGGAUUCAGAUUGAAAUUUCCUGCCUAGUAAGCGAUGGACUGCUCUACCUCCCAACAUUGUUAGUCACGCCCUCGGAAAAGGACCGUAGAGAGGGUUGAUCGACGGCGAUAGGACAAACAGCGCCUGAGAGAUCCGGAAAACCAGUCUAGUCUUCAAAACUAUUCAGAAAAUUCUAAGAGGAGG